Molecule: transfer RNA, 74 nt
Filed under: Candidatus Collierbacteria bacterium
Lineage: Bacteria; Candidatus Collieribacteriota
Description: tRNA-Val
Rfam family: tRNA
About the family: Transfer RNA (tRNA) molecules are approximately 80 nucleotides in length.
Source: RNAcentral
GGACCUGUAGCUCAGAUGGUUAGAGCGUACGAUUCACAUUCGUAAGGCCGAAGGUUCGAUUCCUUCCGGGUCCA